GUAGGGUGCAAGCGUUAAUCGGAAUUACUGGGCGUAAAGCGUGCGCAGGCGGUUCGCUAAGACAGAUGUGAAAUCCCCGGGCUUAACCUGGGAACUGCAUUUGUGACUGGCGGGCUAGAGUAUGGCAGAGGGGGGUAGAAUUCCACGUGUAGCAGUGAAAUGCGUAGAGAUGUGGAGGAAUACCGAUGGCGAAGGCAGCCCCCUGGGCCAAUACUGACGCUCAUGCACGAAAGCGUGGGGAGCAAACAGGAUUAGAUGCCCUGGUAGUCCACGCCCUAAACGAUGUCAACUAGUUGUCGGGUCUUCAUUGACUUGGUAACGUAGCUAACGCGUGAAGUUGACCGCCUGGGGAGUACGGUCGCAAGAUUA
This 369-nucleotide ribosomal RNA is filed under the name uncultured bacterium. RNAcentral's name for it is "bacterial SSU rRNA". It matches the Rfam family "Bacterial small subunit ribosomal RNA", at positions 527 to 896 of the family's 1533-position model. The record is from RNAcentral.